Ovis aries (sheep) is the source of this 73-nucleotide transfer RNA. It matches the Rfam family "tRNA". Rfam says of the family: Transfer RNA (tRNA) molecules are approximately 80 nucleotides in length. Their secondary structure includes four short double-helical elements and three loops (D, anti-codon, and T loops). NCBI's taxonomy places the organism in Eukaryota, Metazoa, Chordata, Mammalia, Artiodactyla, Bovidae. The record is from Rfam.
UCCUUGGUGGUCCAGUAGCCAAGAUUCUGAGCUCCCAAUGCAGUGGGUCCAGGUUCAAUCCCUGGUCGGGGAA